UGGGGAAUAUUGCACAAUGGGCGAAAGCCUGAUGCAGCGACGCCGCGUGAGUGAAGAAGUAUUUCGGUAUGUAAAGCUCUAUCAGCAGGGAAGAAAAUGACGGUACCUGACUAAGAAGCCCCGGCUAACUACGUGCCAGCAGCCGCGGUAAUACGUAGGGGGCAAGCGUUAUCCGGAUUUACUGGGUGUAAAGGGAGCGUAGACGGCGAAGCAAGUCUGAAGUGAAAACCCAGGGCUCAACCCUGGGACUGCUUUGGAAACUGUUUUGCUAGAGUGUCGGAGAGGUAAGUGGAAUUCCUGGUGUAGCGGUGAAAUGCGUAGAUAUUAGGAGGAACACCAGUGGCGAAGGCGGCUUACUGGACGAUAACUGACGUUGAGGCUCGAAAGCGUGGGGAGCAAACAGG
This 404-nucleotide ribosomal RNA is filed under the name Fusobacteriota bacterium. RNAcentral describes it as "Fusobacteria bacterium partial 16S ribosomal RNA". It matches the Rfam family "Bacterial small subunit ribosomal RNA", at positions 355 to 776 of the family's 1533-position model. Lineage: Bacteria; Fusobacteriati; Fusobacteriota. The record is from RNAcentral.